Molecule: ribosomal RNA, 253 nt
Filed under: uncultured bacterium
Lineage: Bacteria
Description: partial 16S ribosomal RNA
Rfam family: Bacterial small subunit ribosomal RNA
Source: RNAcentral
UACGUAGGGCGCAAGCGUUGUCCGGAAUUAUUGGGCGUAAAGAGCUCGUAGGCGGUUUGUCGCGUCGGCCGUGAAAUCUCCACGCUUAACGUGGAGCGUGCGGUCGAUACGGGCAGACUUGAGUUCGGUAGGGGAGACUGGAAUUCCUGGUGUAGCGGUGAAAUGCGCAGAUAUCAGGAGGAACACCGAUGGCGAAGGCAGGUCUCUGGGCCACUACUGACGCUGAGAAGCGAAAGCAUGGGGAGCGAACAGG